RNAcentral lists this ribosomal RNA (327 nucleotides) under uncultured eukaryote. Its description in RNAcentral is "partial 18S ribosomal RNA". It matches the Rfam family "Eukaryotic small subunit ribosomal RNA", at positions 1469 to 1796 of the family's 1831-position model. The record is from RNAcentral.
CCCCUUAGAUGUUCUGGGCCGCACGCGCGCUACACUGAUGCAUUCAACAAGCCUAGCCUUGACCGAGAGGUCCGGGUAAUCUUUGAAACUGCAUCGUGAUGGGGCUAGAUUAUUGCAAUUAUUAAUCUUCAACGAGGAAUGCCUAGUAAGCGUGAUUCAUCAAAUCGCGUUGAUUACGUCCCUGCCCUUUGUACACACCGCCCGUCGCUCCUACUGAUUGAAUGUGUUGGUGAGGAGCUCGGAUUGGCAGCAGUUGGUGGUUCGCCACCGGCUAUUGCUGAGAAGUCCUCCAAACCGCCCCAUUUAGAGGAAGGAGAAGUCGUAACA